GCUGCCCCUCUGCUAAGGGUGCCGGCAGAGUGGGACCAGCCUGGCCUGGGCCGGCCAGCACCUCGGGGCCCACAGGUCGGGGCGAGAGGGGAGGUCGCGUGAAUACUCCCAGGAACGGGGAGUUUCUGCCUCAGGGCUCCUCAAGCUCACUGGAACCUAUUUCAUUGUUUUUACCCUUAUGAAAUGCUCUCAACAGCUGCAACAGAAAGAAGAAAGGAAGUGUUUAGUAAUAUUCAGAGAGUCAUGGCCAGGACAAGUGGCCUGCAUCAUCCCUGCCGCAGGGGGAAGAGACUCGGCAGGGUGUCCUUACAUCCCUCCCGUGUCUAGGGCGGCAGGACGCGUUUGGCGGUCACACCGGCCACGCGGGGUCCUGGUGAGGGGACGGACUUCCUGCCCUGAGUCCCCGCGGCCCUGGCCCUCCUGUGUGCCCCCCUCAGGGUUUAUGAUCGGGCCUGGAGACUUGAAGACUGGUUUUGCAAGGCCGCCGAGGGACACUGAGGUGCCGAGGGACACUGAGGCAGCAAGGAAGGUAAACCCCAACACCUGUGCUGACGCGGUCCAGCUGAGCUCAACAACCGAACCGCGGUUCCGUGCAAGCCUCCUCCCUAGGCGCUGGGGAGACGCCGACCUGGGCACAUCCUGGAAGGAGCUCCGAGGCAGAAGGACCGGGGAGAGCCGAAUGGUAUUUCCUUCCCUCUUUGGGGUCCUGAGAGGUCUGAGAACCUGGUGAAAGUUGUGGGUCCUCCCUCGCAGAAAAACAUGGGUAUGUGCACACACACAGGACUUUGCAAUGACUCCGGGGUGUGUGGGCCCCCCACGCCCCCCAACGUGUGUCUGUAGGAGUGACCUCAGGGUGAGUAUUUCUGGCACAGAAAGGAGUAAUAGUGCCCUGAAAGAAGCACAAAGCCGGAGUCACUGCUGGAAAGAGGGGUUAGGGAGAGAGAAGAUCCAGGUGGGUGGGAAGCAGGGGCGCUGGGGGUGGGUGGUGUCCUGAAGGACAGGCCUGCCGAGUGAGGGGCGGGGUAUUCGUCUCCGGAAGGCGGUUCCAGGCCAAGUCAGAGUGGGAGCAGGAAAACUCCAGCGAUCCAAGCAGCCCAGUUUGGCUGGAGGGAAAUUGCAUGACGGGGAUUCUUGGGCAGCAAACACAGGGUCGUGCUGAGGACGCUGGGGCCGCGCUGAGUACCCCGCCUCUGCCCCCAGCAAAAUGCUCUGUGACCGUGCGAUCCCUUUCUAGGUCGGGGUCUUGGGGGUGUGAAUAUGUGAAGGAUGUGUAUUUAUUGUAAUGAAUUAAGGAAGUUAUAAAAAAUCAGAAAUUCUCAGAUGUGAUCUGACCUCCGUUGACAGCUGAUCUGUUCUGCUCCGGCUUGUGAGCGUUCCCGUCACUCUCCCCACUCUGACCCACGGCCCCAGGUAUGAGACAAGGCCCGCAGAUUUACCACGAUUUAUAUAAUUCUUCUCUUUACAUUCUUUAUGUUUAUUGAAGGCAUAGCAAACAUCUUCCACAAAUAUUUUUCUUAAUUUUUAAGGAAUUUAUUAUUUCCUUAGGGUAGGUAGAGAGGAGGACUUAUUGGGUCAAUCUCUUGAACUUCUUUAGAAGAUGAGUAGGCUCUCUAUUGUUUUUUCAUUAAAACAAAACUGGAAUAUAGUUGAUAAGUAGACCUACAUUAGUCCACAGCCUUCUGAAGGGCUGUCUGCCUGCCAUCUUACUUCCUUCUGUUAUUUCAUUAAUUUUCUCUCAGUGUCCUUUGUCCCCUCCUUAGCCUGUUUCUUAAAUGGUCGGCUCCCCAGACCCCCACCUCCUGGGCUCUCCUCCCUAAAUACACUCUCUCCUCGAUCGCCACUCACAAUAAGCGAGCCUGUGUCAAACGCCUGAUGUGGUCUCACCCUGACCCUGUCACGUGAUGAUCAAUACCUUCGUUUUACAGAUGUGGAAACCCGGAGAGGUAAGUCACUUUCCCAAGGGCAUCACCCCGAAGGCUGUCGGGGACCGUCCCACGUCCAUGAGCCCAGGUCUGCAUGUUCAGCUCCCACCCGCCCAAGCUCUCGAGCAGCGUGUCCUGUCACCCAGCACGCAUUUCCGUCCGGGGUUUCCACUGGCGCCUCAAAGCCCUGUCACCGGAGCUCAGCUCUCCGCUGUCGUGUCCAGCCCUACCCAGCGUUAGUAUGAGUCCCCCGUCCGCCCGUGACAGCUGUCUUUCUUCUACUCCCCCUGCCUCCCCCCGGUUUUGGCAUGGAUUUGAUGUGGCCCACGAUGUCCUCCCGGCCACGGGGAGGUCACUAUUUGAGGACAUGUAGUGUGACUUCCAUGGUUCUCCUGCCUCCCACCAUCCUCCUCACUACCGGCAAGCUGAGCUAACAGCUUUCCAUGACUUGUCACGUUGCCGCCUCUCCUUGAAGAUUUCCAGUGCCCCCCGCCCCCCAGAGUACAGCUCCACUGUCCACGUGGCCCGCCGGUGCGCCACGAUGACCGCCUCCCUCUCCUCGGGCCCUCCCUGCACCCGUGGCCUCCGCUCCGGCUUCCAAACCCAGGGAACCACGUGCAGCCAGGACCGGGGGGGUGGGGGGGGUCCGGGUCAGGUGGCCGAGGCCCCUUGGCCGGGCUCCCUUCUGCUUCCCCUGUGAGCUCCCCACCCCCAGGGUCCAGGCUGACUCCUGUCCUUCCAGCUCAGGCUGGGGUGGCAGGACCACGAGACCCCUUUCCUCCCUUCUCUGUCCUCACUGUCCCCUCCUGCAGGCUCCACUACUCCAUGAAAAGUAUCAGAUUUUAUUUUAAUUGUCUGAUUACCAUUGCAUCUUUCUGUUUCUUUGACUAAAAAUUUGAGGGCAGAGCCUGAGUAAUUUAAUCAUUUUAGGAUUCCUGUGGACUCAGUAGAUGCUUGGUGUUUGCUGAAUAACCUGGGGUGUUUCCUGGCAGCCUCAGUGUGCCCGUGGGCAUCCCACAGCCGUGUGUCUGCCGUAGGGGCCCCUGGACUUACCAGAGGUGGCCUUACAGGAAUAUAGCACCUAAGUCUGUGAGUAAGAAUUCACUGGAAUGUAGUGUUUUGAAUUGUGAAACUACUGCCCGUUUUAAUCAGAUAGCUUUUGCUAGUGACUCUCCCCCAUUGCUCCCCAAAUUUAGUGGCUUAAAACAACUUUAUGUUUAGCUUAUGUUUCUGUGGUCAGAUGACUCUGGUCUGGGCAGCUCAGCUGAUGUCUUCUGGUCUGGCUGCAUAUCUAGAGUCAGAUGACAUCCAGAUAACCCAGGAAGGGCUCGCUGAUAGGUCUGGCUCUCGGCUAGCAAGCCUCGGUGCACCUCCAUGCCGCCUCCCAAGCAGGUUAGCUCGGGCUUCUGCACACGUGGUGUUAGCGCCCCAGAUGCAGCAAAUGUAAACCCUCACAGGGGAAUUAAAGCCACUGCUUGCAACUAAGACACAGGGAUGGGGAAAUAGCCUGCCCUCUGAUGGGAAGGGCUGCUAUAUCACAUUCAGGGGGGAGAUUUUGGGGUCAUUUUUACAAGGACCUGAAUGCACCAGUCCCUGAAUGCAGAAAUUCAAGAGUAUCUGAUAGAUACUAGGCACUUAACAGAUAACCUGGAUUUUUGGAUAAACUAUUGGCCGCAUGUACACGUUUAUGCACUAUACUUAUUUUGCAAAUAGGGCUGAAGCAUGCCUGGGAGAAAUUGUGCCCCUUUCCCAGUUCAUCUUGUUUUUGGAUUCUUGAUACCCAUGUUUAAGAGCAUGUAAGUAUCACAGAGCUAUUAAUCAGAUGUUACCAUCAAUACCUCAGAUGCAAUUUUGGUAAAGGGAGCUAUUGAAGGAUACUGAAUUCACUGAAGGAUCGAAUUAAUUAAGAAGAUGUUCAAAAGCCUGCUGUACUGGACUAGUGCCUGGCAUGGGUAGAAAGCUGCAGAGAGAUGGGUCUGCAUUUUAGAAAUAUCUCAUGCAUGGAGCCAUUCCAUGUCUUUACCGCAUUGUCAUUUCCAAGCAGAAUACCUAACUACUAGACUUAUUUCCUAUUUCUAAAGUUGUUUGCUUUUAAGUGGUUGGGUUCCAAUCAAGUUGCUAACAUGAUUAUCUUAGAGGCAAGCAGCUGGAUUUGGGUCACGUAACAGUGGCAGAGACAGGCAGUGAGGCAAAUGCUGCUGUCGUUGCUGUACACAUUCAUUUCUCUGGGGUUUACCCCUGGGAAAGGAAUUGCUUGGUCAUGAUAAUUCCAUUUCAUCUUUUGAAGAACUUUCAAAAUGUUUUCCAAAGUGGGUGUACCAUUUUCCAUUCCCAUCAGCAGUGUAUAAGAAUUCCAGAUUUUUUCAUAUCCUUACAAUACAUGCUGUUAUAUGUCAGUUUGAUUAUAGCCAAAGAUAGGUUUUAUUAGAGCCAUUUCUCAGAUGAAGGUGCCAAGCAGUUGAGACUGUGGCAGGUACUCUGCGCCCUCAGACACCCCGAGUUCACCUGCCUGUGUCCCCACAGCACUUGACCCCACCUCGCCUCAUAAGUGAAAGAGGAAAACGUGGAAAUUAACUUUUUUUCAGAUACUUCAGUAUUUUUUUCCUGAAUUAGUUGGCAAUUGAAUAUUUUGUAUAGUGGGUUUUUGUAAAUGUCUGAUAGUCCUUCUAUUAAAUAUAUGUUUGAUUUAAUUCUGCUUCCUCACCAUCAAAAUUUACAUCCCGGGCAGAUUUGUGUACAGUGCAGGUGAUCAAAUGUGGUAAGCAACCAGUGAAAUGUCCCCAAAUUUCAGAAUUUCUUUACUGUCAAGAUGAUAAUUCUGAACCAGAAAGAAGUAUAAACAAACAAACUCACGUGGAGAGGUUUGUUCCUGGCACUCACAUCCAUGACCUUGCCUAAUACUCAUCUUUAGAUCUUUAAAAAUUUAAGCACAGGUGCCCUGGCCUCAUCCUAGACAAGUGAGUUGGACUCUUUAUGGGUGGCUCCGGGGUGUCACUCACAAAAGCUCACAGGGUGCUUCUUAGGCUCAGCUGAGGUUGAGAACCAGUGGCUUAUGUGGCCAAAAUGACUGGCAGUAUGACGAUGUUCCUGAGAGAAGGGACUGGUGGGCCCACCCGGGCAUCCGGUCUGAUCACCCUCAGGUCUGUUGUGGAGGGUGGGUAUGCAGGUAAUACUGAUGAGGGAUUGCGUGAAGUGUUUGUUUCAAGUCUGUGAGCCCUUCUAGAAAUAGUAUUCCUAUGUUGGGACUUCAUUUCCCCUGCAACUUGUAAUUUUUCCCCCAUUUUUAUGUUGUUUUGUAUUUGUAACCAAAGUAUAUCCAUGGCUUUAUAUCUUCUAGCUUUGUGUUCAUUAUAUAGUGUGUGUAUAGGACAGGCCAGAAGCAUUCUCCCUUACACUAUUUAUAUAACAUAAUUCUGUGCACAUAAUACAACUUAGAGCUCAGCUGGUGUGACCCUGUCAUUAUAGACGUGAACAACCUGAGGGCCAGAGGCUUGAAGGUCGGGGUCUUGCAUAGCAAGGUCAGGACUAGAAAUUGUAACCCUGGCCAACAGCUCUCUGUCCCAACCAGUUUGUAUCCAGGCCACUGAUUAUAUAUGUAUGGAGGGAUAGAAUUGAUAACAGAACUGUUAUUGAUUGUAUCAGUUAAGAUUCACUCCACUUGCUGUUUUGAACAUAUCAAACCUAGAGAAAAGUUGAAGGAAUAAUACAAUGAACACCUGUUAUCCCUUUUAUCACGACUGACUGGUCACCAUUUCGUUACAUCAGCUUUCUCUCUCUGUUUCUCUCUGUUUUCUAAACCAUUUCAAAGUAAGAUGCAGACAUGAUGGCACUUUACAUUUAAGUAACUCCUAAGAUUGAGGAUAUUUUCUGUGUAACCAUAGCAUAAUCAUCACACUAAAGAAAUUUAACAUUGAUAAGAGACUCUUAUCUAGUGUACAGUCUAUAGCAUUUCCCCCAAGUAUCCUGUUAAUGUUCUUUUUAGCUUAAAAAAACCACCAAACCGAGGAUGUCGUUGAAGUUCAGUGAUCCCAUCUAGUUUUCACGUCUUUCGUGUCCUUGAAUCAAGAAGCCCGCCCGCCCUGCCCUUAUUUUGGACUUUCCUGACUUGACGUUUGUGAAGAAUCCAGAAUAGCUAUCCUGCCACAUGUCCCUCAGCUUGUGGUUUCCUCGUGGGUAGAUUCGGAUCAUACAUUCCUGUUGAGAAACCACAGAGGUGAUGUGGGGUCCGUCGGUGCGUCACGUCAGAUGCCAGUACGAGGCCUGACCACUUGGCUUCGGGGCAUUCGCCAGGUUUCUUCACUGCAGAGGUCACUGUCCCCUUUGUAAUUAAUAAAUAAUCUGUUGGAGGAUUUUGUGUGAAUAGAGUGUGUGUGAAUAGCCUUUCCCCCAGUGACCUUCCUCCCCAUGGUGGUCUCGUCCUGACCCUUGCUGGAGCCGAUUCUUCCUGCUGGUGGGGGCUGCAGAUCGGUGGGGGUUUUCUGGUAGAUCAUUGCUUCUACAAUUAUUUAUGGCAGGCUGGUUAUCAUAACCAAGUAAAGAUAAUUCAGGAAUUUUCCGAACCUGCGAAUUGCUGAUACGCUUAAGUUAAGCAUCUUGAGAUGAGAUUGCUCAGGUGGGCGUUCAAUCCGAGGACAAGUGUCUCAGGCCAAGGGAGGUGCGGGGCACACAGGCGCCCACUCCGAGCAGGCAGUGCGGCCCCCCCCCCCACAGAGAUGGGACUUGGCUGCGGGACGGGGUGGCCGGGAAGCUGCCUGCCCGCAGAGCUGUGGCGCAGCACCCACCGUUCUCCCCUGGAAAUGGGGGGCGCGGCCUGCAGGCAGCUCUGGAAGAAGACAUUUCUGUGGUGCUGAGGCUCUUGGUUUGUAGUAGUUUGUAAUGGCAGCCACAGGAAACUAAUGCAAAGCUCAAGAGGGUUUUUUGUCUUGUUUUUAACACGGGAGAAGUGUUGGCUGGUUUGAGGGCCACUAGGAGAGAGUCUGGGGAGAGGGAAAGCGAGUAGGUGGUGGGGUGGCACUGGAGGCCCCGGGGCAGGGUCUGGCUUUAGAGGGGGCUGGAGAGUCCCACCACAGGAGCGGCAGGGGGGCCAGGAAGGGCAGUAUGGCGCGGUUCCUAGAGGCGAUGGCGGCGACUUGAGCUGCCCCCUCCCACGGCCUUGACUUCCCAGUGAUGCGAGAAGGGAGACUUCUGGUUGCGCCUGGGGACGCAGGACUAGGGGAUGGGUGCUUGCUGAGAGGGGGGAGGCGGUAGUUGGGGUUUGGGUCACCUGGAUCAUAACGGCAGCGCCGGGCGCCGCUUUGCUUAGGUGGAGCCCGCAGACAGAACUGCCUUGAAAGGCUGGACGAUGCUCCUUGAACAUUCGUUUUAUCACCUUUUUCUGGGCACCGUCUUGCCGGCUGAAGAUUCAGGGGCUCAAGUAGUUCCAGAAACCACUCCCUUCCUGAAGCCCUUCGGGCCUAGGAACCAGCCCCGGGGAGGCUACUUCUCCUUUGGAUUCCCUGCACCCUGUCUACCUGCACAGACCGCCUCUUUUCAACCCUGCUUGUGUUACCUGGACGGGAGAAUGCCGUCUAUAUCCCAGGCUGGCACACUGAAUUGAUAGGAAACUUGGAUUCCUUAGAAUUUUCCAGAGUGUUCCACCCUGAGCAUUACUAGUAUACCAUGGCUGGACUUCAGAUAACAACACAUGUCCCAAGAUAUUUGUAUACUCGAUCGCUCCUGCGGUACCUAAGCACCAUGUCCUUCAAGUGCCUGUGGAAAGACGGCCUUACCUGAUUUUUCUACCUUGAUACAGCCAGGAGGCCACAAUUCUGAUUAUUAGUGCAGAGAGAAGUUCAAAUUUUUUAAAUUUAGGCUAAAAGUCCUCUGUAUAGUCUUUACUGCUGAAUAGCUUCCAGACAUGUCACCUGUCAGGUUUUGCUAAAUAUAGGAUAUGUGUACGCAAUUGUGAAACAGAAUUCCAUGCUGACGCUGGAAUCUAAGAGAUUUUUUUUUCCUGUUUAUCAUUUUCAAAUGAGAACCGUGCCAUAAGGACAUUUCCAAGGACACGACCAGAGCUUUGACUGGGCGUGACAGUCCCCAGACUUGGCUGUUUUGUGCCUGCGGUUGAGUAUGCAGCACUAAGCCUUGCCCAGCAGCCUCCUCUGCUCAGUGUGCAAAGCAUGUGCGGUGAGCACUCCAGAUAAACUGUACUGACAUGUAAGUGUGAGGCUACUGGCUGGGGAGGCAGAAUGCACACUGGGCGGGCAUCAGCAAGGUCUCCAUGCUCCUGGCAAAGGCGUAUUUGGGAGACAACGGAAUAGGGUUCAAACAUCCGUACAACACCUGCUGUGUGCCAGGCACUGUUCUCCGAUGCCUCCGUGUCUCUCGUUCUCAUUUCCCAUCACUGAAACUGAGGCCUCGAGGAGUUAAGCACGGGUGAGGAUCCGGACCUGACUCUUACCUGGUUGGUCUCCUUCCCAGGUGCUCCGCAGAGCACAGGGCUUGGCAAUGGGACCUGGAUUGGUGACCUGCUUUCUCCAUUUACUGGCUGUGAGACUUCAGGACUGUCACUUGACUGGCCUCCCUAUGGCUUUCCCUGUCUCCUCCGGGUGGACGGCCAGUGGGUUAAAUGUGAUCCUGUGCAUGACUGCAUGGAGCCCCUGGCCUCUCUGAAAUAACCUCCUGGGCUGUUUCAUUAUCCUGCUUAUUUCCUCUAUAGCAGCACCCACCCUGGAGUUACCUUGCUGAUUGCCUGGGUCUCCCUCUCUGGACACGGGAUUCCUAAAGGCAGCCACUCGGCUGCUUUCUCUGCCCUGCCAUCUCCUCAGCGGGCUCAGCACAGUCCCUGGCAAGCAGUGCACCCUCUAGGAGUUGUCUCCCUACUUCCCCAUCUACUGUCUCUUACAUCUCCUCAGGCAGCGGCCGGCUUUAUGUUGGGUCAGAUCCAGCGGUUGCCUGUUUUUAUAUGAUCUGUGAACUAAGAAUGAUGUUUGCAUCUUUAAAUGUUGAAAGAAAUUCAAGGAAUUUGUCAUCUGUGCAAA
Non-coding RNA from Manis javanica (Malayan pangolin), 8941 nucleotides. Lineage: Eukaryota; Metazoa; Chordata; Mammalia; Pholidota; Manidae. The record is from RefSeq and is a predicted model, not a curated record.